AUUGAACGCUGGCGGCAUGCCUUACACAUGCAAGUCGAACGGCAGCACGGGAGCAAUCCUGGUGGCGAGUGGCGAACGGGUGAGUAAUGUAUCGGAACGUACCUUUCAGUGGGGGAUAACGUAGCGAAAGUUACGCUAAUACCGCAUAUUCUGUGAGCAGGAAAGCAGGGGAUCGCAAGACCUUGCACUGAUUGAGCGGCCGAUAUCAGAUUAGCUAGUUGGUGAGGUAAAGGCUCACCAAGGCGACGAUCUGUAGCGGGUCUGAGAGGAUGAUCCGCCACACUGGAACUGAGACACGGUCCAGACUCCUACGGGAGGCAGCAGUGGGGAAUUUUGGACAAUGGGCGCAAGCCUGAUCCAGCCAUGCCGCGUGAGUGAAGAAGGCCUCGGUU
This 392-nucleotide ribosomal RNA is filed under the name uncultured bacterium. RNAcentral's name for it is "bacterial SSU rRNA". It matches the Rfam family "Bacterial small subunit ribosomal RNA", at positions 30 to 424 of the family's 1533-position model. The record is from RNAcentral.